This 2361-nucleotide long non-coding RNA is filed under the name Homo sapiens (human). Its description in RNAcentral is "non-protein coding lnc-CA4-2:2". The record is from RNAcentral. Lineage: Eukaryota; Metazoa; Chordata; Mammalia; Primates; Hominidae.
GGGCAGGCAGCUAGGGAGUGUGUCGGCCACGUGAUGAGCCUGCCAUGGUGUCCAGAUGGACAUGUGGUAUUUGGUUUAAAGCCCACGCUACUGGGGCAUAAACAGCUGAGGAUAAAUGAUCAGACUCAAUUGUUCUCUCCUUUCCCAGGAAAGGCCAGGAAGGAAAAGGCCCCAGUUUAAGGGAGAAGGCAUUGUCCUCAGUGGAUGAAGCAUAGUCAGGUAGCCCGGUCUGGCAGGGGGCCAGUGGGGAGCACGAGAUUCUCAUGGCUGCUGUGGCUGGUGGCCGCCUUUACAACAAUAGCAUAUUGGACUCCUGUCCUUCCCAUCCCACCUCUGAAAUGAUCACACCCAUGUUAAAUCUCUGAUAAGAUACUAUCAGAUACUCCAAAGUCCAGUUUGGAACUACAGUCUUUGCUUGACUCAAUCCAGAAUCCUUUCUCUCUCCCUGGUCCUAUCUCCCCAUCUAAUCCCCCUCAAUUCUUCUUUCUAUCCAGCUGCUAAGGUCCCUGGGCCAUCAGAAGCGAAUAGAACAAACCUAAGACAUCACUCUCCAUCAAGAGGCCUGCAUGACUCUUUAUUUACAUCAUCUUCCAGGAAGAGGAGGAGGAGCUGCUUUGGGGACACCCACUUCCUCUCCUUACGUAACAACACACUGCAUUUGCACAAGUGUCCUUGGUUGUAAAGGGUUCCACACUCACUUUCUUAUUCAGGGCUUAUUACAAGCCUCUCAGGUAGCUAUGGUCAUGGUACCCUGAUCCCUUGUCAAAGAUGAGCCCACUGAGGCUCAGGGUGACUACCGUUGUGCCAGGAGUUGCUAAGUGGUGGAUCACAGACUCCAGUUCAGGGGGAGGUAGGGUGGUAAAGAAGCAGCUGGAUGAACCUGGGUUUGAAUCCUGCUCAGAAAUGUUCCAUCUGUGUGACACCACAGGCAAGUGACUUAACCUGAUUGAGCCUCAGCUUCCUGAUCUAGAAAAAAGGGUGAUCAUGCAUCCCUCAUAGAGCUGUGGUGAGCAUUUACGAAUCACGAGUGAAACAUGCAUAGCAUGGGGUUUGGCAGAUAGAAGUCCAGUAAAUGUCUAAGCCCAUCUCCAGCGUUUCUUCUGGUUCCAAGCUCAGGACUAUCCUUUAAGCUAAGUGGUAGAUACUCAAUGAACGUGUUUUGGAUGAUUUAGCCCUCUCCUUUCCCCCAUCCCUCCCCAAGUGAGAGGAUGUUUAUUUGCAGCUCUGUGCUGCAGAGAGCUCUGCAAACAAGGAUUGGCAGCAGUAACUUUCUCCAGCUGGCACAACAAUGAAAGGCCACAGGCCCUGGGGCUGCUCCCUAUGGAUGUCCAGGGAACAGAGGCCAGGCAGCAGGCUGACUGCUCCGGGCACUCCCUGUGGCUUCUUCACUCUAGCUGGCUACCCAGUAUACUGAGUAGCAAAAUGGCCUUUGAAAAGGCCCACCCUGUGGCCAUGAUUUCUAGCAGACCAAAUGAGAGUGUUCUCCUGGGAGCACUGUCAACUCCUCUUGCUGGAGACAAUUCUCUGGGAGCUCCUCAGACCCUACUGGAGCACUGUGUGCUUGGCUUUCUGAAUGCUUAGAGGUGACAGGUGCUUUAGCAGACAUCCAAUCCACAGCGGUUGCCCAGGCAGCACUACACCCCCCACUGUCACUUCAACCGGAGUAACUCCAACCUCAUCUGCUUUAGCUAUGGGUCCUUCAGGGGGAACCGAGGCGCGGACAAGGCAAGUGACCCCCAAGGUCAUACAAUUCUGCCAAGUGCUGAGCAAACACUGCGGACUGGACUUCUGGUCUACUGCUUUCCAUGGCAUCAGCUAAGAUGACUGCUCUGAACCUGGGGCUGCGGCAGCCUCUGAUGAUGGCCGUAGGUAUCUCCUACUCCAUUCUGGAGGCUCCCUGCUGAUCCCUAAUGUGGAAGUCCCCCUCUUCCUCCCCAGUUUGUAAUCCCAGUGGGCACUGAGGUUUGGCCAUCAGCAGCAGAGGAUCCUGCUACAGAUAACUGAAGGGUGGUACUGAAAAAACCAUCAGAUCAGCAGAGAAGCCCCGUCCCCUUAUCCCCAAGGUCCUUGGACAACUCCUCCAACCAGGCACAUUUUUCCUUCCUGGGCUGCACUCAGCUGUGACUGGGCUCCUCUCUCUGGCAUGCCUCCUCCCUGUCCAGAGCUCUUCUAGGUUUUCCCCCUUCUGCCUCCUUUUUUCUUCCUCCUCCACUUCCUUCAGUCUUCUUGGGGCAUUUCAAGCCUAGCACCCAUCUGUGAGUUCCUCUUGGGCUUGUUGGUAAGGUCUAAAGUUUGUUAUCAAGAGAAAUUCCAGCCAAAGUGGAUUGUGAAUAUGAAAAAGAGAGAAAUUACAGCAAACAG